This is a long non-coding RNA of Corvus hawaiiensis (hawaiian crow), 101 nucleotides long. RefSeq lists it as uncharacterized. The record is from RefSeq and is a predicted model, not a curated record. Lineage: Eukaryota; Metazoa; Chordata; Aves; Passeriformes; Corvidae. The transcript is spliced from 3 exons.
AGAAUCAUAGAAUGGUUUGGGCAGGAAGGGACAAUAAAGACCAUCCAGCUCCAACUCCCUGCCAUGGUCAGGGACUCCUUCCAUAAAUCAGGUGGCUUGAC